AGCCGCGGCCUCCUCUCCCCUCCCACGCGCCUCCUCCUCCCGCACCCGCGCCUCCCUCUCCUCCCGCGCGCCUCCUCUCCUCCCGCCCACAUCGUCGCCGCCGCCGCCACCGCAACCCACCGCCUCGAACCACGCCAUCGACAUCCAUCCACUGCUCCGGCACCGUCCAGAUGCGCCGCAACAGAGCCCCCCAGCCCUGGGGCAAGAAUAGAGAUGGCGGCGGCGGCCGGAUCCGAAGACGGCGGGGCGGCGACCACUCCCAUGAGACUCGGCGGCAAGCAGCGCGCACCGAGGGGUCGAAGGGCGCUCCGGAUCCAGAUCCUGGCGCAGUGGCGGCCAUGGCCGAGCUUGAGCCGGGGCGCGGUGGCGGCCAUGGCCGAGCUUGAGCCGGGGCGCGGUGGCGGCCAUGGCCGAGCUUGAGCCGGAGCGCGAGGAGGACGGCGCUGACGUCGAGAUCGCGCACAUCGAGCCCACCUAGCCGCUGCCUCCUCCUCGCACACCCGCCCCCGUUCUAGAACCCUAGCCGCCCCAUCCCCGUGCCUUCCCGUGCUCGCUCCUCCCCUCCCUUUCCAGCUGCCACUCCCCUCCCCUCCCCGGUCUCUGUUCCGCCGUCAUCGCCAUUGCCACUACUGGCCAUCACCAUCGCCGGGAGGAGGCCGAGCGAAGCGGGCCGCUUGUACUGGAGACCAAGCCGCCUCUCCCUCCCGCGCGGUCGCGGCUUCCUCCUGCCCCACGUCGUCGUCCCUGCCCCAACCACCGCACCCUCUCCCUCCCCCUACCGUCGGCCUCUCCCCAGGCGGCGGCCAGAUCUGCCACCGCCACCUCUCCUCUCUCUCUCUCUGAUGUGUUUCGAUCUGUUUCAGGAACAAAUGUUGCUGCUAGCCUUGUAGUUAGUUAUGUGUUGUGUGUCAUUCUUUGACUGACUGCAAAUCAGUGUUCUGUAGGAGUAUAUGCCAUGUUAUAGAAAGAAGGUGCUCAAGUUGAACAUCUUUUGGUGCAUUUUUUGUUUCAACAACUGACACAUGUUAUGUUGGGUUCCCACUGAAGUGCAUAGACAAUGCAUUAUGAGGCAUCAUGAGUGGUAACGAAUAGCUCUUCGGGGGAUGCGGGCCCAAUGGGGUGUGUGCAUGCCUUCGCGGGUUCGUGCCUCGGUUGCUCCAGUGCUUGCUAUUACGCUCGACUUCCUAUUGUUAGUUGUAACCCACUUGCUUCGAUUUCCUCGUGGUAGUACCCCAUCAGUUUGAUGGAGAUCACUGAGCUGCGGGUUGGAACUGAUCAGUUCAUGUCCUGAGCCUUUAUAGCUUAGUUAUUGGGGCCUCUGGAGCGAUGGUGGUGGUGAAUCCCACAAGUUUCUGGUUGUUAAUAUUCCCUUACUUUGUCUAUUGUGAUUUGUCAACUAUCCUGGUUAUUAUCAUUCGCUUUAUGGCUAGAAAUGCUUGCACCUAUUUGGUGGUUAUAAUUGUCAGCCUUUUCCUUUUACUUGGCUUGUGGCUCACAAUUGGCAGUUGAUGAUACAUAUAUUUAGCACCUAAUUAAACAUCUUUUGUGGCAUGACAGGUUAAUUGAGAAUUCUUAUGAUUGUGUAGAUGUAUAUAAAGUUCCACGUACAUGAAUCUCCACUCAUCUGCAUUUUCUGACACGAGGUUGCAUCUUAAAAGUUGGGUGCUUGAUAAUUUCUCCAGGUGGAUGAGCACAAUAUGAAACAUCGACAUCCCUAUUGCAUCCUUCCGAAGCACUAGCCCCUCUCAAGUUUAUAGGAAGUUGCUGAAAUCAAAGAGGAGCAGCAAAAGAUCGAUGAGGCUGCUAAAAUCAUGCAAGAUGUUGUUCAUUGAAGGGGUGCCACUUGGCUGGCAGCAGGAAGUAAGCCAUCAACAUCAUCAAGAUCCGCUUGAAGGACAACACCAUGGAAGAUGCUCAAUGACCAGAUCGUCGUCCUCUCCGAGAGGAGGGGCCAGCUCAAGCAGCAUUGAAGGGGUGCCACUUGGCUGGCAGCAGGAAGUAAGCCAUCAACAUCAUCAAGAUCCGCUUGAAGGACAACACCAUGGAAGAUGCUCAAUGACCAGAUCGUCGUCCUCUCCGAGAGGAGGGGCCAGCUCAAGCAGCAUUGAAGGGGUGUCACUUGGCUGGCAGCAGGAAGUAAGCCAUCAACAUCAUCAAGAUCCGCUUGAAGGACAACACCAUGGAAGAUGCUCAAUGACCAGAUCGUCGUCCUCUCCGAGAGGAGGGGCCAGCUCAAGCAGGUUGCCGCUGGAACUAGAUGGGGUCUCCAGCCAGCCGCCAUGUGGCUUGCAGUAGCGGUUGAUGCAAGUUAUCCUUACAUACGUAUAAGGGUCUUAGUACUUACUUAGUAUGACAAAGUGAAGAUAGAACUGAUGUAUUGAAUUAUUAAUGGGGUGGUUUCGAUGAGAACUGAAACCUUUUGCUUUCAAGGUUGGACACUGAUAUGAACUGUGAGUAUUUAAUAGAGAAAUUCAGUUCAUAUGGAUCAAAACGAAGGCAUGUAGUACCUCACAUGGACAGUGAUUAUUUGCCCAUUGUAGUACUUCAAAUUUGAUGAAGAAUUUAUUUCACGACUGAGACAUGGGAUUUGGAGAAUCUCAGUUCUGACAUGUAUAUUAAUCACCUUUAUUUUGUCAUGGUACUGAAUGUUCUGAUAUGGCACUAUAUGUUUUGUUUAUCUCUUAUAAAUAAUGAAAUGGCC
Molecule: ribosomal RNA, 2701 nt
Filed under: Triticum aestivum (bread wheat)
Lineage: Eukaryota; Viridiplantae; Streptophyta; Magnoliopsida; Poales; Poaceae
Description: partial small subunit ribosomal RNA
Source: RNAcentral